AUCCCUUAGCCGCUUCUUGAAGAAAAAGAAGAGUUCUAUUUUAUUUUCUCAUGCGUUGAGAUAGGAUCACAACCAAAAAGAAAGAAACACAAGGGAGCUCAAAGUUGAGAGUUUGCUAGCACAAAUUUCGACUUAGGGAUUUACACGCUCUUAGUGAAGAAAUUUCGGCAAAUCACUAUGUGGAUCACCAUUAGAGGCAAGACAACUAUGCUCUGUGGUUUGAUAAGUUUUAGUUGAUGUACAAAAGUUAAAACGAAAAGCCAAGGAGGACUCCACCAAAGAAAGUAGACUUUCAGUUUGCUGGAAUUGUAUUCUUGUGUGACAAGGACUUGCAAAAUCAUGGCUAUUUGUAUUCCGAAUUUACUGAGGUUUUGAGAGCUUUUUGGCAUGAUGUUUGGGGCAUGGGAUGUCUCUGAAUUGGUGCCAAAAUCGCAGCAAACAAUGGAGUAUGGAGCUUCAAAGGAUUUGGGACAGCAUAGGUGAUGCAGACCCAAUAAAAUUACACUAGCUUGUGCUAUUUCUUCUCUAUAUAAUUAAGAGUUGUACUAAUUUGGUUGUGACCUGAAUUUAGACUCCUAAUUGUAAUGGAAUAUAUCCUAAAGAGUUUAGGAUUGCUCCAAAUAAGAUUCUAAAAUCAAAUUGGCAAAGAAAUAGGACUCUUGGCCAUAAA
Non-coding RNA from Theobroma cacao (cacao), 670 nucleotides. Lineage: Eukaryota; Viridiplantae; Streptophyta; Magnoliopsida; Malvales; Malvaceae. The record is from RefSeq and is a predicted model, not a curated record.